Molecule: long non-coding RNA, 563 nt
Organism: Diorhabda sublineata
Lineage: Eukaryota; Metazoa; Arthropoda; Insecta; Coleoptera; Chrysomelidae
Exons: 3
Source: RefSeq, a predicted model, not a curated record
CGGCUAUUAUCGUACCUGUACUUAACAUUUUUUGAAAAUAGUUUUAAAUCAAAACAGAAACGUGUACGUGUUUAAUAAAUAUACGUGUUCUAUUACUGUAAAGGUUAUAUGUACAGUCAUCAGUUCCAGCAAGAUUUAAACGGACCAAUUUGAGUCGCCGAACAAUCAAAUCUCAUGCAUAUGAGAGCACGAACAUCAGGUUAACCAAACAAUGAAAAUAUGCGUGUGAGCACGGCCUAGUUAUGUCAAUAACAAUAACAAGAGGCACGAGAUAAACGAGAUCAACAGUGACAAUUAGAAAAGAGAAACGCGUAAAUUCAUAGUAAACAGACUUAGAGGAAUUGACCAACAAUGCCAACAAGUUUUUCGAGCAUUUACAUCAGAUUUAUUUCUUCGACUAGAAUUCCAGUAUGAGCCUAUAACUGCCCAAUUAAUAAAACGUUGAAGUUGUUGACGACGAUAUUAAUUUAAGAUUUAACUUCGAUUAUAUGAUAUAUUAUAUAAGGCUCUUCUCCAUAUAUUCUCAUUUUCAAUUCUGUCGCUGAUUGUUAGCAUCUGUGAAC